CGUGCGGUGCUCCCGUGCAAUGCAUCGUGCGGUGCUCCCGUGCAUGCUCCCAUGCAAUGCUCCCAUACGGUGCUCCCGUGCAAUGCUCCCGUGCAGUGCUCCCGUGCAGUGCUCCCGUGCACUGCAUCGUGUGGUGCGGCGUGCAGUGCUCCCGUGCAAUGCUCCCAUGCAAUGCUCCCGUGCAAUGAUCCCGUGCAAUGCUCCCGUGCAAUGCUCCCGUGCACUGUAUCGUGUGGUGCUCCUGUGCAAUGCAUCGUGUGGUGCUCCUGUGCAGUGCUCCCGUGCAAUGCUCUCGUGCACUGCAUUGAGUGGUGCGGCGUGCGGUGCUCCCGUGCAAUGCAGCGUGCAACACGGCACGCAACGCACUGUGCAUUGUGCAAAGCAUCGUGUAAUGCAUCCUGCAAUGCCCCCGUGCAACACAUCUUGCGACGCCCGUGUGCAACGCACAGUGCAAUGCCCUUGUGCAAGGUGCUGUGCAACACCCCCACGUGCCCCCCGUGCAAGCUCUGACACAAACCACGCAAAGUCCACGUGCAAAUGCUUCGGCUGUGCAACACCCCCCCACCCCCAAACCCUGCUGUGAAUCUGCAACGCCCUGGUGCAAACCCCUCGUGCGACCACACACACACACACACCCCCGGCCCUUGCACGAGCCCCCCCCCCCCUCGUGCAACGCACCGGCGUCGGGGGGCAGGUAGAAGGCGCCGACGGCGAGCAGCGUGAUGAGCACGCAGGGCACGAGGACGUUGACGAUGUAGAAGAGCGGCUUGCGGCGGAUCACCAGGUAGAAGGUGACGUCCUCGUGCGAGCCGGCGGCGUGGUGGCGGCCGUGCCGGUGGCACAGCUCCCACUGCCCGUUCUCUGCACGGCGCCGCCAAGCGUGAGGCCCCGUGCAAAGCCCCCCG
RNAcentral lists this long non-coding RNA (905 nucleotides) under Anser cygnoides (Swan goose). Its description in RNAcentral is "lncRNA (ENSACDG00005007939.1)". The record is from RNAcentral. Lineage: Eukaryota; Metazoa; Chordata; Aves; Anseriformes; Anatidae.